CUGAAGUUUAGUGGACUUGUCAGGGGCAU
This 29-nucleotide non-coding RNA is filed under the name Rattus norvegicus (Norway rat). Lineage: Eukaryota; Metazoa; Chordata; Mammalia; Rodentia; Muridae. The record is from RNAcentral.